RNAcentral lists this ribosomal RNA (620 nucleotides) under Vibrio sp. RNAcentral's name for it is "bacterial SSU rRNA". It matches the Rfam family "Bacterial small subunit ribosomal RNA", at positions 104 to 720 of the family's 1533-position model. The record is from RNAcentral. Lineage: Bacteria; Pseudomonadati; Pseudomonadota; Gammaproteobacteria; Vibrionales; Vibrionaceae.
GGGUGAGUAAUGCCUAGGAAAUUGCCCUGAUGUGGGGGAUAACCAUUGGAAACGAUGGCUAAUACCGCAUGAUGCCUACGGGCCAAAGAGGGGGACCUUCGGGCCUCUCGCGUCAGGAUAUGCCUAGGUGGGAUUAGCUAGUUGGUGAGGUAAGGGCUCACCAAGGCGACGAUCCCUAGCUGGUCUGAGAGGAUGAUCAGCCACACUGGAACUGAGACACGGUCCAGACUCCUACGGGAGGCAGCAGUGGGGAAUAUUGCACAAUGGGCGCAAGCCUGAUGCAGCCAUGCCGCGUGUGUGAAGAAGGCCUUCGGGUUGUAAAGCACUUUCAGUCGUGAGGAAGGUAGUGUAGUUAAUAGCUGCAUUAUUUGACGUUAGCGACAGAAGAAGCACCGGCUAACUCCGUGCCAGCAGCCGCGGUAAUACGGAGGGUGCGAGCGUUAAUCGGAAUUACUGGGCGUAAAGCGCAUGCAGGUGGUUUGUUAAGUCAGAUGUGAAAGCCCGGGGCUCAACCUCGGAAUUGCAUUUGAAACUGGCAGACUAGAGUACUGUAGAGGGGGGUAGAAUUUCAGGUGUAGCGGUGAAAUGCGUAGAGAUCUGAAGGAAUACCGGUGGCGAAG